GACCAAGUACGACCAGAUUUGCUGCGACAUGUCCAUUAUGCCCCACAAUAGGUGGACACCAAUGAAAAAAAAAACUCCCGAAGAAGUUUCGCCUUGGCCUAAAGUAUGAGAUAAGAAUGGCACUCGCCAACCACGGUGAGUUUACGUACUUUGAAUUGCUCAACAAAACUCUAGACGCCAAGGUAGUUAUGCUCGGGGAUCACCCGACACAAAUUCAAACUGAACAAAGUGGUCAAGACAUGAAAAACUUUUC
Molecule: long non-coding RNA, 253 nt
Filed under: Salvia miltiorrhiza (redroot sage)
Lineage: Eukaryota; Viridiplantae; Streptophyta; Magnoliopsida; Lamiales; Lamiaceae
Description: long non-coding RNA (SMIL_LNC010775)
Source: RNAcentral